This 432-nucleotide ribosomal RNA is filed under the name uncultured bacterium. RNAcentral's name for it is "partial 16S ribosomal RNA". It matches the Rfam family "Bacterial small subunit ribosomal RNA", at positions 28 to 506 of the family's 1533-position model. The record is from RNAcentral.
GACGAACGCUGGCGGCAUGCCUAACACAUGCAAGUCGAACGAGACCUUCGGGUCUAGUGGCGCACGGGUGCGUAACGCGUGGGAACCUGCCCUUAGGUUCGGAAUAACUCCCCGAAAGGGGUGCUAAUACCGGAUAAUGUCUUCGGACCAAAGAUUUAUCGCCUUUGGAUGGGCCCGCGUUGGAUUAGCUAGUUGGUAGGGUAAAAGCCUACCAAGGCGACGAUCCAUAGCUGGUCUGAGAGGCUGAUCAGCCACACUGGGACUGAGACACGGCCCAGACUCCUACGGGAGGCAGCAGUGGGGAAUAUUGGACAAUGGGCGAAAGCCUGAUCCAGCAAUGCCGCGUGAGUGAUGAAGGCCUUAGGGUUGUAAAGCUCUUUUACCCGGGAUGAUAAUGACAGUACCGGGAGAAUAAGCUCCGGCUAACUCCGU